UACGAGGGGUGCAAGCGUUGUUCGGAAUCACUGGGCGUAAAGGGAGCGUAGGCGGAAAUGCAAGCAAUCUGUACAAUACCGGGGCCCAACCCCGGACCUGCAGAUUGGACUGUUUUUCUUGGAUAGUUCAGGGGCAGGCGGAAUUCCUGGUGUAGCGGUGGAAUGCGUAGAGAUCAGGAAGAACACCGAUGGCGAAGGCAGCCUGCUGGGGACUUAUCGACGCUGAGGCUCGAAAGCGCGGGUAG
Molecule: ribosomal RNA, 245 nt
Filed under: uncultured Fibrobacter sp.
Lineage: Bacteria; Pseudomonadati; Fibrobacterota; Fibrobacteria; Fibrobacterales; Fibrobacteraceae
Description: partial 16S ribosomal RNA
Rfam family: Bacterial small subunit ribosomal RNA
Source: RNAcentral